RNAcentral lists this ribosomal RNA (253 nucleotides) under uncultured bacterium. Its description in RNAcentral is "partial 16S ribosomal RNA". It matches the Rfam family "Bacterial small subunit ribosomal RNA", at positions 524 to 776 of the family's 1533-position model. The record is from RNAcentral.
CACGUAGGGCGCAAGCGUUGUCCGGAAUUAUUGGGCGUAAAGAGCGCGCAGGCGGUCGAUCAAGUCGAGUGUGAAAGCCCCCGGCUCAACUGGGGAGGGUCAUUCGAUACUGAUCGACUCGAAGGCAGGAGGGGGUAGUGGAAUUCCCGGUGUAGUGGUGAAAUGCGUAGAUAUCAGGAGGAACACCAAUGGCGAAGGCAGGUCUCUGGGCAUUAACUGACGCUGAGGAGCGAAAGCAUGGGGAGCGAACAGG